AUUGAACGCUGGCGGCAGGCCUAACACAUGCAAGUCGAGCGGAUGAAGGGAGCUUGCUCCUGGAUUCAGCGGCGGACGGGUGAGUAAUGCCUAGGAAUCUGCCUGGUAGUGGGGGAUAACGUCCGGAAACGGGCGCUAAUACCGCAUACGUCCUGAGGGAGAAAGUGGGGGAUCUUCGGACCUCACGCUAUUAGAUGAGCCUAGGUCGGAUUAGCUAGUUGGUGGGGUAAAGGCCUACCAAGGCGACGAUCCGUAACUGGUCUGAGAGGAUGAUCAGUCACACUGGAACUGAGACACGGUCCAGACUCCUACGGGAGGCAGCAGUGGGGAAUAUUGGACAAUGGGCGAAAGCCUGAUCCAGCCACGCCGCGUGUGUGAAGAAGGUCUUCGGAUUGUAAAGCACUUUAAGUUGGGAGGAAGGGCAGUAAGUUAAUACCUUGCUGUUUUGACGUUACCAACAGAAUAAGCACCGGCUAACUUCGUG
This 484-nucleotide ribosomal RNA is filed under the name uncultured bacterium. RNAcentral's name for it is "partial 16S ribosomal RNA". It matches the Rfam family "Bacterial small subunit ribosomal RNA", at positions 30 to 507 of the family's 1533-position model. The record is from RNAcentral.